AGCACCUCUCCCAGCAAGACAGGCUGAGAGAGUCGGGGCUGGUCAGUCUGGAGAGGAGAGAGCUCUUAGAGCACCUUCCAAACACCUGCAGGAGAGCUGGAGAGGGAUUUUGUCAAGGGUGUGUGGUGAUAGGGCAAGGGGGAAUAGCCUUAAUCUACACCUAAUCUCUUUUUGUUUAUCUGUCAGGGGAAGAUUCUUUCCUGUGAGGGUAGUGAGCCACUGGCACAGGCUGCCCACAACAGCCGUGCAUGUUUCAGAUUCCUGAAAAUGCUCAAGGCCAUAUUGCAUGGGGCUUGGAACAUCCUGGUCUAGUAAAAGCUGUCCCUGCCCAGGGAUUUGAAAUUAUAUGACCUUUAAGAUCUUUUUCAAGUCAAAUCAUUCCAUGAUUCUAUGAUCCCAGGAGCAGGAGGGCAGUGGCAGCCACAGAGGCCUGGAGAUGCAUCCAGAGAGUGCCUGUGAUGUCCCACAUGUGUCACAGGAAGGGACUAAAAUGUGUUUUAUCCUGUGGAACAGCUGACAGCACACACAGUGAGGCAAAAACCUGACUGGGGUGAUUGGUUUGAGGGAACGAGGCAGGCUGUGGUGGUUUCAGUCCUUGGUAACUGCAGCAGGGGUCAACCAGUCACCCAAGAAAGGGAUUUUGCAAUAUAAGAGCAAAUGGUUUUAGGUCUCUGUGAUGCAGCCCCUUGCACCUGAUGGUUUGUGAGAGACUGCUGGGCAGCUGUGACACUUGUACAGGUCUUGCUCCCCACUCCUUAAUAGCUAGAAACACAAUUUCUAAGACAAACCCUCAGAUUUUGCCAGCAUGGCAGAGGUGUCCCCUUGGAGGGACAGAGGAGGGGCAGCUGCACAGCUCAUCCCCCACGGGGGCAGGACACAAGUGCCAGCAGUGGCAUUUGGAAGCUCAGCACUGGGAUCCCUGUGCAGCAGGUUUGGAGGGCACUCACAUGUUCACUUCUCUAAGAGAAGGUCCUCCACUGGGGCAGGAAGAGUGCCACAAGUCACCAUGGAAUGGCUGAUGCUCCCACCCCUGUCCCUGACUGUUCCUCGUGAUUUGAAGAUGUUUGGGAUGAAUUGGGGUCUUUUAGAUGGUUUUGUCCCAUCUUGCUGGCUCACAUGUAUUUAUGAGCCCCACAGAAAGGGAGAGAAGCUGAAGAGCAAAACGUUUACCAGCUAAAAGCCAGUUCUCCAUGGUUCCAAAGCCUGAAGUUUAUGCUGAAUGCAUCAUAACACACCUCCUUAGAAAAAUUAUUGAUGAUUCCAGCUGCAAAGGUAAAAAAGGCAAUCAAUGAGUUUAAGACAUUGUAUUAAAAUAUGCAAUAAAGGAAUUCAUUUUCUGCAUUACAUUCAUAUGACAGACAGGUAACAAUUUUAAUACACAUGCAGGCUACAUCUGAAGCCUAAACUCAUCAUAUCAUAUAUAGGUCACUAAUUGUAUUUUCAUCCCUCUCUUCUGAAGUCUUCUGAUGUUUUAGAUCAGAUCACCACAAAUCUGCCAGCACAUUUCCUCGUUUUUUCUGUUAAACAUCACAGUGGAGGGCAGCAUCUGGCCUCAAAACCCUACGAUUUUUUUUUUCUGUCUCACUUGGUGUCAGAACUGGUCAGGUUUGGCUUGAUUAACUCUUCCCACCAGCAUGGUCCAGCAAAGGCCCAGCCAAGCACCCAGUGCAGUUCACAAACCCCAGCUCCAAGUGUUUCUGAUCCUGCAAAGGAGCCAGUUUGGCUCUCACAGGCACUGGCACCACCAUGCACUGAUGCAGGCAGCUGCUCUGCUGUGACACCGGGCUGAUUUUAACCCAAAGUGCUUAAACAAACUGUUAAUGGUAGCUCCAAGUGAUUAUCCAUUUAUUUCAGUAUUUGUCUUUUUCAAAUGUGACCUAAAAUCUAUAAGUAAUUAGUUAUUGUACAAGCUACGGUAUUGCAAAAUGCUUCCCUUCAUUUUUUAUUCCGACUCUGAACUAUAACUCCAAAAUCAUUCUAGUCACACCAGCCUUCAAAGGUCUAAAUGGGGAGGAAGGGGGGCUAACUCCUUAGUAUCUUUGAGAUUUACAAGAAUAUUUGAGGAUUUUCUGGGGAUUCAAUGUGAGAUGAAAAUAAAAGAGUUUUGCAGGCAAACAGUGAAACUUAUGCUUCCAGUUCAAAAGGAAAGACACAGAGAAAAAUUUAAAUGCUAAAUAAAUAUUGCUAUUCAACAGCAGUCUUUGUCUUUUGAGUCCUAGGUUAAAAUUACUUCACAGGGACUAUAAACACUCUUUUUUACU
This is a long non-coding RNA of Passer domesticus (house sparrow), 2261 nucleotides long. RefSeq lists it as uncharacterized. NCBI's taxonomy places the organism in Eukaryota, Metazoa, Chordata, Aves, Passeriformes, Passeridae. The transcript has 3 exons. The record is from RefSeq and is a predicted model, not a curated record.